GGUCGCGUCUCCCCGCCGUUAAAGGCUCUACGUGGCUCUGCCGCCUAUUCUGUCGGGUUGUGACCUGUACCGAUCGUGGGAGUCAUAGGAAGGACGCAGGGGACCCGGGAGACUAGAAAUGGACUCAGUGGCCAUUGAGGAUGUGGCUGUGAACUUCACCCCAGAGGAGUGGGCUUUACUGGAUCCUUCACAGAAGAAACUCUACAGAGAUGUGAUGUGGGAAACCUUCAGGAUCCUGGCCUCAAUAGGAAAAACAUGGGAAAAUUAUGAUA
Molecule: long non-coding RNA, 272 nt
Organism: Diceros bicornis minor
Lineage: Eukaryota; Metazoa; Chordata; Mammalia; Perissodactyla; Rhinocerotidae
Exons: 3
Source: RefSeq, a predicted model, not a curated record